AUUUUCUUUUACUUUUCCAUAAUGAUUGAAGGAAUUUUAUGAAGUCCAAAUCUGUGCAACACCAAGGGACAAACAUAUUACCAUACAUUCUUCAUGGGAGCCAGAUCCUGAUUAUUCAGAUAUGGAAGAUGACACAGAAUAUGUUAAUCUCAGGGAAUACCACAGUAUAGACAACAAGUUUCGAGUUUUAAAUGCACACAGUUGUUUGCCUCGGUAUGGAUACCACAAAUGGCUUGUAGACUGGUGUUUAGAGGGACUGGACAUGAUAUAUGGUUUUACAUUGGACCCAUUAAAGAAAUGCAUUGUAGUAGUCGGAGGUGAUUUUAGUGAGGAGAGCAAGUCACUUCUUUAUUCAAAAAAUGCAGACGGAAAGUGCUACUUAGAAUUUAC
This is a long non-coding RNA of Saccostrea echinata, 390 nucleotides long. RefSeq lists it as uncharacterized. The transcript has 4 exons. The record is from RefSeq and is a predicted model, not a curated record. NCBI's taxonomy places the organism in Eukaryota, Metazoa, Mollusca, Bivalvia, Ostreida, Ostreidae.